GGAGGCGUGGUGUAGUCGGUUUAACAUACUGCCCUGUCAAGGCAGAGACCGCGGGUUCGAGUCCCGUCGCCUCCGCCA
Molecule: transfer RNA, 78 nt
Filed under: bacterium
Lineage: Bacteria
Description: tRNA-Asp
Rfam family: tRNA
About the family: Transfer RNA (tRNA) molecules are approximately 80 nucleotides in length. Their secondary structure includes four short double-helical elements and three loops (D, anti-codon, and T loops).
Source: RNAcentral